This is a long non-coding RNA of Salarias fasciatus (jewelled blenny), 201 nucleotides long. RefSeq lists it as uncharacterized. Lineage: Eukaryota; Metazoa; Chordata; Actinopteri; Blenniiformes; Blenniidae. The transcript has 3 exons. The record is from RefSeq and is a predicted model, not a curated record.
UUCCAAGUCUAAGCCACUUUUAUGGUUGGAGCAAAGAGUGGAGCCCUUCUCUUUUCAUGGUAGAUGAGCGGACCGUGUGUUUAACAACGGAAACGGAGGAGAACCGUGGAUCCUGGACUGAUGAGAGCCCUGUAUUGUGCCUUGUGCCUGGAGUGUGUGUGAACUGUGAGCCUCUGGCCGGGUCUUUUUCUUUUCCUCGUC